This 497-nucleotide ribosomal RNA is filed under the name uncultured bacterium. Its description in RNAcentral is "partial 16S ribosomal RNA". It matches the Rfam family "Bacterial small subunit ribosomal RNA", at positions 28 to 507 of the family's 1533-position model. The record is from RNAcentral.
GAUGAACGCUGGCGGCGUGCCUAAUACAUGCAAGUCGAGCGAACAGAUGAGGAGCUUGCUCCUCUGACGUUAGCGGCGGACGGGUGAGUAACACGUGGAUAACCUACCUAUAAGACUGGGAUAACUUCGGGAAACCGGAGCUAAUACCGGAUAAUAUAUUGAACCGCAUGGUUCAAUAGUGAAAGACGGUUUUGCUGUCACUUAUAGAUGGAUCCGCGCCGCAUUAGCUAGUUGGUAAGGUAACGGCUUACCAAGGCAACGAUGCGUAGCCGACCUGGGAGGGUGAUCGGCCACCCUGGAACUGAGACACGGUCCAUGCUCCUACGGGAGGCAGCAGUAGGGAAUGUUCCGCAAUGGUCGAAAGCCUGACGGAGCAACGCCGCGUGAGUGAUGAAGGUCUUCGGAUCGUAAAACUCUGUUAUUAGGGAAGAACAAAUGUGUAAGUAACUAUGCACGUCUUGACGGUACCUAAUCAGAAAGCCACGGCUAACUACGUG